UACGUAGGGGGGCAAGCGUUGUCCGGAAUCAUUGGGCGUAAAGAGCGUGUAGGCGGCCAUACAGGUCAGCUGUGAAAAACUCGAGGCUCAACCUCGAGACGUCGGUUGAAACCGUUUGGCUAGAGUCCGGAAGAGGAGAGUGGAAUUCCCGGUGUAGCGGUGAAAUGCGCAGAUAUCGGGAAGAACACCCGUGGCGAAGGCGGCUCUCUGGGACGGGUACUGGACGCUGAGACGCGAAAGCGUGGGGAGCGAACAGG
RNAcentral lists this ribosomal RNA (257 nucleotides) under uncultured bacterium. RNAcentral's name for it is "partial 16S ribosomal RNA". It matches the Rfam family "Bacterial small subunit ribosomal RNA", at positions 524 to 776 of the family's 1533-position model. The record is from RNAcentral.